GCUUCCAUAGUGUAGUGGUUAUCACGUCGGUUUUACACGCUGAAGGCCCUCAGUUCGAUCCUGGGUGGAAACA
This 73-nucleotide transfer RNA is filed under the name Daphnia pulex (common water flea). RNAcentral describes it as "tRNA-Val". It matches the Rfam family "tRNA". From Rfam's summary of the family: Transfer RNA (tRNA) molecules are approximately 80 nucleotides in length. Their secondary structure includes four short double-helical elements and three loops (D, anti-codon, and T loops). Lineage: Eukaryota; Metazoa; Arthropoda; Branchiopoda; Diplostraca; Daphniidae. The record is from RNAcentral.